AGUUGUGCGAUUAUCUUUCCAUGCAGACUUGUCCUCUUUCUGAGGCUGUCCAGCGCCUGGGGGCAGUAGGACGGGUCCGGGAACUAAGCCCAUCUCAAACACGUCGGAGUGGCUUUCUUUGGGGGCCAAGGCCCGAGCCUGAGGCGGGACUCCAUGAGGCCUCUGGGGCGCGAGCGGUUUGACUAGGGGGGGCGAUCCUUUCGGCGGGGCUGACGCAAGGCGCGGACAGGAAUUCUGACGAUCGGGAACCAUCUUGUCCGGCCUUGAUACGUCUCUGACUACGCUUCCCAGAGGUCUCCUCGGCAAGACUGUACUUCUCGCGGUAAUUCAGCUUCCAACUCACGCGCUGGCGGGACCCUCAGGGCUUUACCAGCAACUACCCCAGUGCCGGGGAGGGUUCUGCUGCUUCGAAAGCUGGUAAGGCCUGAGCUCUACCCUUCUCCAAAAGAAGAGCCAAGAGAAGGUCCUUUUCUACAAAUAUCAGAGCCAUGGCUCAGAUGGAGUCUCACUCUGUUGCUCAUGCUGGAGUGCAGUGGUGUGAUCUCAGCUCACUGCAAUCUACGCCUCCCGGGUUCAAGCAAUUCUUC
This 587-nucleotide long non-coding RNA is filed under the name Homo sapiens (human). RNAcentral describes it as "non-protein coding lnc-ZNF566-2:2". The record is from RNAcentral. Lineage: Eukaryota; Metazoa; Chordata; Mammalia; Primates; Hominidae.